RNAcentral lists this ribosomal RNA (493 nucleotides) under uncultured bacterium. RNAcentral describes it as "partial 16S ribosomal RNA". It matches the Rfam family "Bacterial small subunit ribosomal RNA", at positions 30 to 523 of the family's 1533-position model. The record is from RNAcentral.
AUUGAACGCUGGCGGCAUGCCUUACACAUGCAAGUCGAACGGUGACAGGUUAAGCUGACGAGUGGCGAACGGGUGAGUAAUAUAUCGGAACGUGCCCAGUCGUGGGGGAUAACGUAGCGAAAGCUACGCUAAUACCGCAUACGAUCUACGGAUGAAAGCGGGGGAUCGCAAGACCUCGCGCGAUUGGAGCGGCCGAUAUCAGAUUAGGUGGUUGGUGAGGUAAAAGCUCACCAAGCCUGCGAUCUGUAGCUGGUCUGAGAGGACGACCAGCCACACUGGAACUGAGACACGGUCCAGACUCCUACGGGAGGCAGCAGUGGGGAAUUUUGGACAAUGGACGCAAGUCUGAUCCAGCAAUGCCGCGUGCAGGACGAAGGCCUUCGGGUUGUAAACUGCUUUUGUACGGAACGAAACGGUGAGCUCUAAUACAGUUUGCUAAUGACGGUACCGUAAGAAUAAGCACCGGCUAACUACGUACCAGCCGCCGCCGUAA